UUUUGAAAGUCACUCGACAGGAAGUAAUGUCGAGGCCGUUUUCGUAGUGUUCUUGUCAGUCUGCCUGUUGAUGAGAAUUGAUCAACAUUGUUCAUUCUGCUCACUUUGUUGAAAGGCAUUGUGCUGUUUAAGCCUUAGAAAGGACCAUCUGCUAUUGCCUCGUGAGGAUGCAGUCAGUGCCGAAGAAGACGUGCAACAUCGUUGAGUUGUCGGUGACACAACGUGAUACCCUCAUGCCCGUUGAAAGCAAAGGAAAAGACGAACCCUCUUCAACUUUAUCAUGCCAACUGGAGGAGACAGAAUCCAACCGAAUGAUUGAAGAGAAGCUAGCUACAAUUGAAGCGAAGCUAGCUACACUGAAAACCCAAACAGAAUCCAACGUAAUGAUUGAAGAGAAGAUUGCUUCAAUUGAAGAAAAGCUAGCUAAAAUGGAAAUACGUUUAGAGGUGUCAAAUGACUGCCUGGAAGUGGUGAGCAGCAGCAUCCAGUCGGCGUGGUCACAUGUUGUUCAUGUGCAAAAUGAAGGAGCCUAUUAAGCUUCUUCCUGUUUUAAAAUAAUAAAAAGAAACUCCUCUUUCA
This is a long non-coding RNA of Corythoichthys intestinalis (scribbled pipefish), 579 nucleotides long. RefSeq lists it as uncharacterized. NCBI's taxonomy places the organism in Eukaryota, Metazoa, Chordata, Actinopteri, Syngnathiformes, Syngnathidae. The record is from RefSeq and is a predicted model, not a curated record. The transcript is spliced from 2 exons.